UUAAUUGAGAGUUUGAUCCUGGCUCAGGAUGAACGCUGGCGGGAUGCUUAACACAUGCAAGUCGAACGAAAUCCUUCGGGAUUUAGUGGCAGACGAGUGAGUAACACGUGAGAAUCUGGCUUGAGGUUUGGGACAACCGUUGGAAACGACUGCUAAUACCAAAUAUGCACAACUGUGAAAGGGGUUAACCCCGCUUCGUGAUGAGCUCGCGUCUGAUUAGCUAGUAGGUGUGGUAAGAGCGCACCUAGGCGACGAUCAG
RNAcentral lists this ribosomal RNA (259 nucleotides) under Nostoc sp. 106C. RNAcentral's name for it is "partial 16S ribosomal RNA". It matches the Rfam family "Bacterial small subunit ribosomal RNA", at positions 1 to 283 of the family's 1533-position model. The record is from RNAcentral. Lineage: Bacteria; Bacillati; Cyanobacteriota; Cyanophyceae; Nostocales; Nostocaceae.